RNAcentral lists this ribosomal RNA (1348 nucleotides) under uncultured bacterium. RNAcentral's name for it is "bacterial SSU rRNA". It matches the Rfam family "Bacterial small subunit ribosomal RNA", at positions 28 to 1381 of the family's 1533-position model. The record is from RNAcentral.
GACGAACGCUGGCGGCGUGCUUAACACAUGCAAGUCGAACGAAGCUUGAUUACGGAUUCUUCGGAUGAAGUAUGAUAUGACUGAGUGGCGGACGGGUGAGUAACGCGUGAGUAACCUGCCCUUCAGAGGGGGAUAGCGUUUGGAAACGAACGGUAAUACCGCAUAAUGUAUUUUGACCGCAUGAUCGAAAUACCAAAGAUUUAUCGCUGAAGGAUGGACUCGCGUCUGAUUAGGUAGUUGGUGGGGUAACGGCCUACCAAGCCGACGAUCAGUGGCCGGACUGAGAGGUUGAUCGGCCACAUUGGGACUGAGACACGGCCCAGACUCCUACGGGAGGCAGCAGUGGGGAAUAUUGCACAAUGGGCGCAAGCCUGAUGCAGCAACGCCGCGUGAAGGAAGACGGUUUUCGGAUUGUAAACUUCUGUUCUUAGUGAAGAAUAAUGACGGUAGCUAAGGAGCAAGCCACGGCUAACUACGUGCCAGCAGCCGCGGUAAUACGUAGGUGGCAAGCGUUGCCCGGAAUUACUGGGUGUAAAGGGAGCGCAGCGGGUGAUCAAGUCAGCUGUGAAAACUACGGGCUUAACCCGUAGACUGCAGUUGAAACUGUUCAUCUUGAGUGAAGUAGAGGUUGGCGGAAUUCCGAGUGUAGCGGUGAAAUGCGUAGAUAUUCGGAGGAACACCGGUGGCGAAGGCGGCCAACUGGGCUUUAACUGACGCUGAGGCUCGAAAGUGUGGGGAGCAAACAGGAUUAGAUACCCUGGUAGUCCACACUGUAAACGAUGAUUGCUAGGUGUGGGGGGUCUGACCCCUUCCGUGCCGGAGCUAACGCAAUAAGCAAUCCACCUGGGGAGUACGACCGCAAGGUUGAAACUCAAAGGAAUUGACGGGGACCCGCACAAGCAGUGGAUUAUGUGGUUUAAUUCGAAGCAACGCGAAGAACCUUACCAGCACUUGACAUCCAACUAACGAAAUAGAGAUAUAUUAGGUGCCCUUCGGGGAAAGUUGAGACAGGUGGUGCAUGGUUGUCGUCAGCUCGUGUCGUGAGAUGUUGGGUUAAGUCCCGCAACGAGCGCAACCCUCGCCAUUAGUUGCUACGCAAGAGCACUCUAAUGGGACCGCUACCGACAAGGUGGAGGAAGGUGGGGACGACGUCAAAUCAUCAUGCCCCUUAUGUGCUGGGCUACACACGUAAUACAAUGGCCAUCAACAGAGAGAAGCAAUACCGCGAGGUGGAGCAAAACUUCAAAAAUGGUCUCAGUUCGGACUGCAGGCUGCAACCCGCCUGCACGAAGUUGGAAUUGCUAGUAAUCGUGGAUCAGCAUGCCACGGUGAAUACGUUCCCGGGUCU